Molecule: ribosomal RNA, 500 nt
Filed under: uncultured bacterium
Lineage: Bacteria
Description: partial 16S ribosomal RNA
Rfam family: Bacterial small subunit ribosomal RNA
Source: RNAcentral
AUUGAACGCUGGCGGAAUGCUUUACACAUGCAAGUCGAACGGCAGCACGGGCUUCGGUCUGGUGGCGGGUGGCGAACGGGUGAGUAAUGUAUCGGAACGUGCCCAGUCGUGGGGGAUAACGUAGUGAAAAUUACGCUAAUACCGCAUACGAUCUAUGGAUGAAAGCGGGGGAUCGCAAGACCUCGCGCGAUUGGAGCGGCCGAUAUCAGAUUAGGUAGUUGGUGGGGUAAAGGCCCACCAAGCCAACGAUCUGUAGCUGGUCUGAGAGAACGACCAGCCACACUGGAACUGAGACACGGUCCAGACUCCUACGGGAGGCAGCAGUGGGGAAUUUUGGACAAUGGGCGAAAGCCUGAUCCAGCCAUUCCGCGUGCAGGAUGAAGGCCCUCGGGUUGUAAACUGCUUUUGUACAGAACGAAAAGGUUUCUACUAAUACUAGGAGCUCAUGACGGUACUGUAAGAAUAAGCACCGGCUAACUACGUGCCAGCAGCCGCGGUAA